Molecule: ribosomal RNA, 310 nt
Filed under: uncultured bacterium
Lineage: Bacteria
Description: bacterial SSU rRNA
Rfam family: Bacterial small subunit ribosomal RNA
Source: RNAcentral
GACGAACGCUGGCGGCGUGCUUAACACAUGCAAGUCGAGCGGUAAGGCCCUUUCGGGGGUACACGAGCGGCGAACGGGUGAGUAACACGUGGGUGACCUGCCCUUAGCUCUGGGAUAAGCCUGGGAAACUGGGUCUAAUACCGGAUAUGACUCCAUGACGCAUGUUGUGGGGUGGAAAGCCUUGUGCGGCUAGGGAUGGGCCCGCGGCCUAUCAGCUUGUUGGUGGGGUGANGGCCUACCAAGGCGACGACGGGUAGCCGGCCUGAGAGGGCGACCGGCCACACUGGGACUGAGACACGGCCCAGACUCC